CCGAGCAUGAAUUAGGCAUCUUCCUCAUUCUCUCUUGCCCCAUCCGAUAUGGCGGUGAGGUCAACUUAUGAUUUAGCGCUCAAUGCGGCAUAUACGUCACCCAAGAAAGUCGCACAUGCGCAACAAGUCCAUCUACCUGACUCACUGAACCCGUGAGCCCACGUCAGGUUCAGGAUUUACAUGAGGAUUCACAGUGUAUUACCGAAUUAUGCCAGUCACGCAAGUUAACGCUGCCAACUUUGGAGCUAAAAAGAUAAAAUUCCUCUAUACCAUUGUGGAAAAUAUUUAAGCUCAGUCUUUGGUGAUCCACAAUAUAGUUAAGACAUUCACGAUCCUUGAGGGGAGGGUUCUCACGUCCAUUUCCAGGUCAUGUGGUUGUUGUAGCGAUUGAGCAGUUUAUAAGGUGGUGUUGUUGUCUUCCUUCUCUGUCUGUUGGCCUUAUGCACUGCCCCCCCUUCAGAUGAUCGAUGUGGAAACAUUAGAAAUGCCAAGAAUUGUUAACAUUCGUUAACACAAUUGUUAACAAGACAUUUAUUUUUCUCUAAAGAUUAAACUGCUACAUUUCAAUAAUAUGACUAUGUACAACAUGGAUAGCAAAAUAAACACAAAUAAAUAAAUAAGGGACGGUUUAUUUGAGGCAAGAAGCAGAUCUGUUGCUUUUUCCCACUGGGUUAAUACGUUUAUAGAAAUGCAGUUAGAGUAACAGUUGCACAAUUAAUGUCUUGUUACCUGGUUUCCUUUUUAAUUUAGCUAGCGGCAAUAGUGGUAACUGAACGAGUUAACAGAGACGAAUACCCCCAAGUCACAGUUCAGUUACAUUACCUGCAACACGAAAGAAGAAUAGCAUGUAGCUAGCCACUUCUUCUACGGUCAAAGCAAUUUCAUGAUCACAAUGGCCCUCUGGUGUCCUUGAGAAAGACAUAUGCAGGGAAUGAAGAUAAAGUAAAGUAAAAAAAGACACCCAUCACACAAUUUUUCCAGAGGGGAAAGAAAAGGUGGAGAUGUUCCGCCGUGUGCUUGGGAAGACCUUGGGGUUUGUGGGCUACACCAUCCAGUAUGGCUGCAUUGCACAUUGCGCCUUUGAGUACAUCGGAGAGAUUGUGGUGUGUUCCGGUCCAUCAAUGGAGCCCACCAUUGUAAACAAAGAUGUCGUUUUCUUGGAACGGAUGAGUCGGCAUCUUUGCAAAAUACAAAAGGGUGAUAUUGUCAUUGCAAAAAGCCUUUUUGACCCCAAUAUGAAUAUUUGUAAAAGGGUAAUUGGCUUGGAAGGUGACAAAGUCUGCACAAGUGGUCCAUCAGAUCUUUUCAAGACCCACACAUAUGUGCCAAAAGGCCACGUAUGGCUUGAAGGCGAUAACCUUACGAACUCGACUGACUCAAGGAGCUAUGGCCCAGUUCCCUAUGCCCUCAUCAGAGGCCGUGUUUGCUUGAAGGGCAUAAGAGUACAUUCACAUAGUGAGCUGUUGGAAGCUCAGCUGGUCAUUCUCCGAGGCAGAGAGGGACUCUUCUUCUUCCUCCCAAGCUCCCUAAGGGAAGUGUGUUCCAGGCAGCCGUGGGUCCCUGUCCAGCUGCUUCCUCUGUCUGGAGGGGGGCCAGAGGGUCAGCGACAAGGCUCCGUGUGACACUGAAUUAUCUGCCUGAGUGUGAUUGUGCCUGCUGGGAGGGAUGCUCAAGAUUGUGAGAGAGUAUGUGUGUGCAGCUGAAGAAGAAAAAUCUUUAUGUGGGCUUUUGCUUCAAGCACAUCUUUGUUUGUCAAGGUUUAAUAUUCAUCUGCUGCGUGUCAACACGGUGCCAGUGUUGGGCUGAAAUGCUGACACGAGUAAUCUUGGAGUGUCCCCUUAAAAAUGCUGGCCUAUAGAGGGAGCCCUGCUUGGAUGAAUCCUCUGUUUAAUAGCUGAAGUAAGAGUGAAGAUGCUUAUGUCAUCAAAGGACUGAAAUACAAAUGAGAUGCGCAGUUUGUCUUCAUGAUGCUGAGUGGGCACCAAAUAUGCAACGUGCUAAAACCACACAGGCUUUGGAACAACAGAAAACUGAGUCAAUAUAAUACAUCAGUACAGUCAGAGUGCAUUGUUGAACAGUAGGCUGUUCGUGUAUAUUGUUUACAAUGGAAAAUUUGUCUUGCUUAAGGUGAUGAGCACCGGUGGUAGUCUCAUUCAACCCACCCUCCUGAGUGCUUUGCCAUUAAAUGAACACUUUUGCAAUGUUCUUGGUUCAUGUUCUGCUGGUUGUUGAAAAAAGUUAAAUAAAUGUCAUAAAAAAAAUUGUCAUAAUAACAAAAAAAAGGCACAGAGGCAUCGACAUGGCACAGCGGUGGCAGUCCACCCAUGCAGCCCACCACCACAGCUUCAAAAAAUCCUAGGGGAAACCCUGGACUGCCAAUGUGAACAAGGAAGUAAAGAUGCAGUUGGGCAAUAUAGAAACACAUUUUAGUGGUUCGGCAUUUGACAAGCAUGUUUGAGCACUGAUCAGGGACAAACCACAAUUAGCAAAAAUGACGAUGAUUGGCCAAAAUGUGCAGGGAUUGGUUGAAUUUGGGUGAAUUGAUGUGAAGGCAACACCGCACAAUCCUGGAGGGUUAAUUGUAUAGUUGGGACUGGAUACUAGACAGCUAGUUCGCAUAGACAGCUACUUUGCAUCGAUCCGAGCACUACCGAGGUUCUCUUGAGCAAGUCACCAAAUGUAAACUGUCGUGCUCAUUAGUGUGCAGCCCCCUGCAGAUGUUCUAUUACAUUACCUGAAGUUUGGUAAGCUGUUGCAAAAGUAGAGACCAGACUGCACAAUUGGAGUGGAAAACACAGAAUACAAGUUCUUCAGAAGUGCAGAUGUGCAAUAAAAGAGAAUGCUGUGUUUUUGUUUGUCCAAAAAGAACUUAAAAUGGAGUUGCUGCAGUAGACUGAUGGAAUGUAUCGGUUGAAUUUUUGUAUUAAGACAAACCAACCACGUGCAGUACACACUGCACUUGGGAAACUUUUGGUGGCUAAAUAUUUGCAUGCAACUCCUACUGAAGGAUAAAACCAAUUCCCCUUUAAACUCUCCCCCCGCUGUCUCUGCACCUCCUUUCCUUGAUGCACUCAUCUGUUUACGUCCUUUUUCUGUUGCACCCCCACACGCUCCACCGUUGGGGGACUUGCUCCUUUCAUUUACACAUCCUUCUGAUCAUUCUCUCCUUUUAAUCAAGCCUGAUAGUACUUCUUAAUUAAGACAUCACAGUUGCUGUUUGAUCACGCUUGCUUUUCUGAGAGAAAGCGAGAGAGUAUGGGAGACAGAAAAAACAGACAGUCCAGGCUCUUAGACGGUGUGUGAAGAUGACUGAACAGCAUCAGUUGGGCCAGUUACACCUCCUCCAAAUCUGCUCCGCUAUAGCACCUGCGGUUUGAGCUUCUCAUUAUGAGGGCCACGGAUGAGCUAGAGCCUAUCCCAGCUGUCUUUGGCCAGGCACAUCUGAGGUGAAGAGCUCCGGGUCAACAAAUGGGUGGAAAUGAGCAAAGAAUAUAAGGAUGCAAAACAACUUGGAACCUUGGACCAUGCCCAGCUGGUGAUGGAGAACUGGCAUGGGUCCGAGUGUGAGCUGAUGUGGCCAGGCUCUCGGCACCCCCUGUUGUUCCUGACGAGGCUUGGUGGGAAAUUACCCGGCGCCCUCUCCUGUAACUCGCUGUUUAGUUGUAAUAAGCCGGGUCUCUCCUGGUUGCGCCCAGCUGGCGCCCUACGAGUGGGCUGGGCAGAGGCAGGAGGCUGUGCCAGCUCUACUGGUGCAGAAUGGGGCACACCAGGCAGACAGGCCCAGUGUCAGCAGCAGCAGCAGCAGCAGCAGCAGCAGCAGCAGCAGCAGCAACAGCAACUAUCCCCCUGGCUACAGCACAAACAUAUGCCAGCAUCCUCCAUGUUUGUGUAUAUACAGAGGCAAAUGAAGCUUUUAAGCAGAGUGGAGGGAUGUGGGUGAGAGGAAGAGAGGGAGGGUGGUGGCUUACCCCUGAAAAGAUUAAUUGACUUUCUGCAGAGCGUCACUUAUCCUCCAUCAACACCUUUGGUGAGUGCAUGUGUGUUUGGACUACAAGAAUAGAUCACCAACAUGUGCAGCAAUUUGAGCAGAAAUAUCAAAGUAUCGAACCAUCAGUCAUUUUGUCUGCUUGUUACCUUAUUUUCUAUUGUGUUUAACAUUCUAACAUUGUUUGUGGCCCUCAAAUUUCAUGCAUUAUUUUAGGGUAAUACCAAUGUUACCAAGAAAAUUCAGAAAAUUGCCAUCAUUGCCAUCAUGAAACCAGUUUGACUCUACAAGCAACGUUUAACAUUCCUAACUGUCAUACAAGUGAAAAGAGAAGUCAAACCUCAACUCAAGUAAAACUAUUCCCAUUAUGGCAGGGGUGUCCAAACUUUUCCCACCGAGCAUUCUGAAAAAUCAAAAGACGUGGGGUGUCAUUUUAAUAUUUUUUAAAUAUUUUUUAAGGCUGUGAAAUGAUUACAAAUUUUUAAUCAAAUUAAUCACAGUUUUCAGAUUAUUUAAUUAUCAUUAAUCACCAUUUGCAGCUUUGUGUGAAAUGGGCCCCUUUUUUUUAACAUACUUUAUGAACAAAAAGAUGAAUGACAGGACACAAUUUUAUGUAUUAACAGCUCUAAAUGAACAGAAAAUUAAAAUGUAGCACACGUCUAAAAAUCUAUUUGCCCAACAUUAGUUUCUUUAAUAGUAGCCGAACAUUUGAAUCACGCUCUAAGAACAUUUGAAUCACACUUUAACAUUGUUAUUAUGAACCACGCACGGUGGCCGAGUGGUUAGCAUGUUGGCCACACAGAUCAGAUCUGCGUUCAAAUCUCCGCUUGGGCAUCUCUCUGUGUGGAGUUUGCGUGUUCUCCGUGUGUACUCAAAAGCAUGCAUGUUAGGUUAAUUGGUGACUCUAAAUUGUUUGUCUGAAGACUUGAUUAUUGACAGACUGCUAUGAGGCAUCAUUUUGCUAUGAGUUACGGUGGCACCUCGGUUAACGUCCGCCCUGGUUAGCACGUUUUUCGGUUAGCAUCCAAACUUUUUGGUAAAAUUUUGCCAUGGCUUGCAUUCGCCUCCUUGUUUAGCAUCCAAAAUACCAUCCGGGUUGUUUACGCUGCCAUCUUCGAUCAUGUGCCAAAGACGAAAUUUCGUGCUACUUGCAAGUGAUUGCGCAAUGCAUUGUGGGCCGCAGGCAGCAUUUCAGAGCAACAGCGUUUGUUUAUAUCAGAUUUGCUGUGCUCGAGACAGAUAUACGCCCUAACAAAAUACAUGGACCGUACAAAAGAGAAAGCUGAUGGACCGUACCGAGACAAGGGUGCAAGACCACCCAAUUUUAUGGCUUAAAGAGAAGAUCGUUGUCGCAUGGCUCAGACGUGGCUCCGUCAUCGGCUGCGAUGCACACACACAUUCAUGCAAACACAUCUCCGGUUCCUGCACAACAGUCUGUCAACCCGGCAGGGCAUCAAGGGUGACACUGCCUGUGUCAUUUUACAUCCAUAACACUCAUUUCUUUUUCCAACAACAAAACAUAAGCAUUCAAACUUACUGUACUGCGGAGGUAAACACAGUACAUGUCACCAAACACCUUAUAUGGCAUCCUCGCUGGCGUACUUCCGGGACAUCACUGCCGGUAGCAGUUGUUAAACGGCAAGGUACAUAUUUAUUUGGUUCUAGAACAUUUAUAUUUAGUUUGAUAUAUUUUUUUUUACAUUUUUACAAAUUGUGGUUGCAGCAGCAUAAUGUGUUUAUUUUGUGUUAUUUUUGGGGUUUUCCCAACAAAACCGGUAAAAGUGAUGUUAAAUGUUCAGUUGUCCAUUCAUUUGUCAUUUGUAAAUAUUGUCUGUAAAAUGUGUUUUGUGUUAACAUUUGUCUGUGUCUGUAACGGGUUAAUUGGAUUUACAUUAUUUUCUAUGGGAAAAUUUGCUUUGGUUAAAGUCUGUUUUGGUUUGAGUCGGCCCUUCUGGAACGGAUUAAUGACGUUAACCAAGGCACCACUGUAGUUCUUGGAUUCUAUAGUGUAUAGUGUAUAGCCGACACUUUUGGCAUAACUGUGUUAGUUCAGAAAAAAAUACAGAGUCAACCGCUGAUGACGUCAUAGAUAGACGAUGAAGCUAGGGUGCCAUGCUAACACGAUGCUAACAGGGACGUUUUGCAAUAAAAAUAAGUUCUGAACACAGUUGGACAUACGCAAUAUAGAUAGAUGCACGCGGCAUACUAGAGUAUAUGCUAAAAAGGAAAAUUUAUAGAUAUAGAAAUAUAGAAAAUGGAUUGAUGGAUAGACAACACUGCAACAGACGCUGGUCAUUUCAUUAGGCACACCUUCUCAAUUCAAUGCAAGAGCUCUUUAAAAAAAACAUGUCAUUACGUCAAAAACGAUGGUUAUUAUUGUUACCGUAUUUAGCUACAUUGGAGGGGUUAAAUAUUAGACAUCUCUCAAUAGGAUGUAGUGCUUUUCUACAACCACAGUAAUAAGCAUAACGUUAAAUGAAUACGUCUCUGACAGUGUCAAUCAAACAUAGAGACGUAGUUUUUAUGUUGAUUCUCAUUAGUUUGUACAGGCAGAGCAGGCCCCACCCUUGGCGAGACUUUAUACGGCGCCCCCCUCCAUCUGUGAUUUACAUAGCUUGCAAAAUAAAUUGAAUGGCGUUGUUUUUAUCGUUGUCUUCAAUUUGUAAAAUAACAUGUCAGCCAAUUUACAGGGUUAACAAAUUACAAAUAAAUACAAAAAUAAAUCAAUACCAUCCAUCCAUCUUCUAUGCCGCUUAUCCUCAUCAGGGUCGCGGGUAUGCUGGAGCCUAUCCCAGCUGAUUCAUACCUAUGGACAAUUUAGUGUCGCCAAUUACCACACGGGCAGAACGUGCAAACUCCACACAGAGAGAUUCGAAGCCGGGUCUUCCCGAUCUCCUGACUGUGUUAACCACUUGCUAACCACUUGCUAACCACUCAUCCACCAUGCGGCCCCUUAUAAAUACAACAAUCAAACAUUUUGGGGAAUUUUUUCCCAUUUUUUUUGGCAGCCGUGGCGGACUUAGCAUCCUCUGUUUACAGGUAUACCCUACGUAUACCAAUGCACACAUAACACAUUCUCAGCUUAUUCCACCAACUUUGAGCACAUAUCUGGAUUUGAGAGAAGAGUCACACAUGAGGAUGUACAGAGAGUAACGUCCCCCAGCCCCACCCGCCUGCUGUAAACACCACCACCACCACCACCACCCACAGCUGCACACACUUCUCCUGUCACGGUGAUAAUCUCUUUGUCACUGGCCGUCUGUUACACAUUUGAACGUCUGAUUCGGUGAAUGUCCGAGUGGCAGGUUUGACUUUAGUGCCACAGGAUGUCUAUGGCUGUGCGUGCGUGUGUGUGUGUGUGUGUGUGUGUGUGUGUGUGUGCGGGGGUGUAUGUGUGUGUGCGUGUGCGUGUAUGUGUGUGUCUGCACCCAGUGCCAUAGGUGGUGGGAUCUCCAUCCCUGUCAAAGUGUGUAUGUGUCCAGACUUCCAGCUAGAAUGUUAAACAAAGGACAAAGAUCUGUUGUAAAUGUUGAAAUUUGUUGUUAUAUUUUCUCCACAAAUUUACUUUUCAGGUAGCUUUAAAAAAUAUUCCUUUUUGCCUUAUCUUAUGAUAUUUGUGCAAAAAAACAAACAUUUCUGUCCCCAGUGCACCAAGCAAAGUCUAUUAAGGCAUGCUUGGAUGAAUUUGGUGUGAAAGAGCCCCUUUGGGAUGACCGAGAACAGAUGAUGAAAAUACACCAGACUGAAAGCUGUCAUAGCUGUAAAGUGGGGACCAACUUUCCUAUCAGUGUGAUGCACAGGAUAUGGCACUGGCCAGCAGCCCGCAGCUCCAGCUGUGAUUUUUUUUUUCACACCAAAGAAGAAGAAAUGUUCAUUUUCGAAAAGAGUCACCUAGUCACCCCUAGUCCGUGAAUGCAUCUACACUGUGUUCUGACUGGAUGAGCAAGAGAAGAGGGAAGGGGUCAGUUUCUUCAGUCAGUGAGACACGAAAAAGAUGUCUUGACAGUGUGCUUCCCCCGCGGUUAGCUAUCCAUAACCAUGAAUACACCAUAACUGACUGCAUGCAGUGUGAAGGGUCGGUGGGGUAUGCCGGAGCCUAUGCCAGCUGACUCUGCGACGAGAGGGUAGAGUACACACUGGACUGGUCGCCAGCCAAUCGCAGAGCACCUAUAAACAAACAACCAUUCACACUCACACGUCGCUACGGACAAAUUAGAGUCACCAAAUAACCUAACAUGCAUGUUUUUGGAAUGUGGGAGGAAACUGGAGUGCCCGCAGAAAACCCACGCACGCACGGGGAGAACAUGCAAACUCCACAAAGAAUUACACACACGAACGCAUACACACAGUUCAGUUCCAAAUUUAAAAAUGGUAAAUACAGUAGUUCAUGGUUUUAUAUUUGUAAAUAAAUUGUUAUUUUUCUGAAAACAACCCUUUUUUGUAUUGUUUAUGUUGUGGUAUAGUUGUUUAGAGCCGUCAAAAAUGCUAAGAAAAUUUGUGGCAAAGUGCAAGUUAUGCUUGAAAUGUAUCUUUUCACAAAAGCUUUUUUGUUGGGAACUGAUAUUUUCCUGAAACUUAUCUAUGUUCUACUGCUGAUUACUAAAGAACGGAAAAAGGUAGAAACAAACUUUUUUUUUUCUGAUGAAAGACAAGAGCAUAAUAUUUCUUUUGGUACGUUCCAUGUUUAUAUAGCCAUAGAACACAAUAUUCUGUGUGCCUAGAAAUCAAAAUCAGUCCAAAUCAUCUAAAAGGAAGGGGUUGAAAUUUGAAAAAUGGCUGGGAUUAAGUUAAUUUAGGCAAAAUGUAUGUAACAUUUGCCUAAAUAUGUAUUUUUACUAAUAAUAUGCUGUAUUCAAUCAUAAAAGAGCAUGAUUGAUGAAUUAAUAUAUUUUUGAAAGACCGUGAUAGAGUUUAACCAUGAAAUUUGAAGUGCGAAGUGGCGAGGGAGGACUGUACAGUGGAAAGUAAUUACGGAUUGUUUAAGUAGAUUUCCUUGUUUACUACAGCGGUCAGCCCUUGAACUGGAUCGAAUUUUUGGGUUUACCUAAUCUUGUUGCGCAAAUGCACUUGAUUUUGCUGUGCCUUUAAAUUUGGCUUUGAAGCAAGCAGUCUGCUUUCAUUGCACACAUUCAGGAAAAGGAGUAUUAUCACAACUUAGUUCCUAUAAAGCUGAAGCAUUGCAGUAUAUUGUGCAAGCAUACCUAACAUAUUUGAGGGGAGAACCCUAUGGAUAUCCUUUAAGCAAAUGAGUUAGAUUAAUAUGAAAUAAUAUGUUGACGUUAUUAACAUAGAAAGUACGAAAGACACACUAAUUGCCGGUGAAAGUUUUUGUUUUUCUUCAAAAAGCUUCUUUUCCUUCUUUUGCCUUUCAGCCCCCCACCCACCCCCUACCCCCUUGCCUGGCGACACCUUCUUCUCCUUGCUCUAUCUGUUGUUUGCUCUCCUCUUGUCACUCCACUGCAAUCAUCCUUGCAGGGGGCCUUGUCAUCUCUAUCUACUCAUAUCCUGCACUCCCUUUUUGCUUGGAGCACUACUGCACUUAAAUGUCAGGCCUGAUGAGCCGGCCACACCCACCUGCCACAUCAGCUCAGUGCCUGCUAAAAGCUUUUAUAGAGGAGAGUGUGAGCCUGGUGGUUGAUACAAAUUAAAUACUUUCUUGUUCCUUUUUUUGGUUCUUUUAAAGGGACGCAGGCACUGAAGAGCAAUACUUUCUGGAAGGAGAGGGAAUGUGAGAAAUGGAGUGGGACAGGCUGCCAUCCAGUGGCUUCACGAGCACAUAGAUGCCACUGGUAAUAAAUAUACAGUCACAAGAGUACUCAUAACAAUGCCACAUAUGGGGUUAAAGUGAAUUUACAUUCUGGCUGCAAAUAACACAGGAAAGUGUUUUGUUAUGCUUUAUUAUAGUUUUUUUUAACAUGAAGUUAUUCAUAUUCUUUCUCAAAAUGGGAAUAAGCAGUGUUUUAAAUAGUAAAUUAGAAGUCACCAAGAUCUUUUAGAAUGGUGAGAUUGUAUUAUCUCAAACAUUUUAGAUAAGAAAAUGGUGAAACUAUGACCAUGGUGGAUGACCUUAAUGCUUUUCCUUUAUAUCUAUAAGACAACUUAAUCAACUACUUUGUCACUUUUGGGUCGUUUUACCCAUGAAUAAAAAUACACUCACAAUUUAGUAUGAUUUUUUUUUGUUUCUAAAUGCGCUGCUGAAUACAGCAGCAUUUUUCUCUUUCAACUCUCCCACAAAUUCCAGCUUUACAGAUGCCAGGUCUACUUGAAGUGUGUUGUUGUUUCAAGUGGACACAAUGCAAUACAUGCAUUUAUUAUAUUAAUUUAAGGAAAUAGUAUUAAGUUACCAUAACAUUUUAAAUGUAUAUAUAUUUUUUAAUCAUUUCAUUGACAAUGUUGCAAUUAGAGCUAUGUUGUCUUGGGCUAAAAACUUGAGUGUGGGAGAAGUUCGGUGAGGCAAUGGAGCACGACUUUCGGUCAGCCUCGAAGAUGUUCUGGCAAACCAUCCGGCGCCUCAGAAAGAGGAAGCAGUGCCCGGUCCACACUGUUUACAGUGGGGACGGGGGCCUGCUGACCUCGACUGAGGAUAUAGUCGGACGGUGGAAGGAAGACUUUGGAAGGAAGACUCUCAAUCCCACUGACAUACGUUCCAUAGAGGAAGCAGAAUCUGACGACACAAACGCGGACAGUUCCAUCACCAUGGCUGGGGUAUCACCGGAUCGUCGUGGUGAAGAAAGAGCUGGCAAGGCAAAGCUCUCAAUUUACCGAUCGAUCUAUGUUCCCACCCUCACCUAUGGUCAUGAGCUUUGGGUUGUGACCAAAAGAACGAGGUUGCGGAUACAAGCGGCUGAAAUGAGUUUCCUCCGUAGGGUAGCUGGACUCACCCUAAGAGAAAAGGUGAGGAGCUCGGUCAUCCGGGAGGAGCUCAGAGUAGAGCCACUGCUCCUUCACAUCGAGAGGAGCCAGUUGAGGUGGCUCGGGCAUCUAGUCCGGAUGCCUCACGGACGUCUCCCUGGUGAGGUGUUCCGGGCAUGCCCAGGAUUAUGUCUCACAGCUGGCCUGGGAACGCCUUGGUGUUCUGCCGGUGGAGCUGGACGAGGUGGCUGGGGACCGGGAAGUUUGGGCUUCCCUACUGAGACUGCCAUGCCCGCGACCCAGACCGGAAUAAGUGGAGGAAAAUGGAUUUGAUGGAUGGAUUUUAUUCAAUAAAAUAAAAAAAAAAAUUACAUUUAUAAAGGGCUUAAUUUAUACAAUGGAGUAUUAGGGCCACAUUAAAAAAAAAAGAUUUCGAGAAUAAAGUCAUAAAUUUACGAGAAAAAAAUGUCAUGAUAUUACCUUUGCCCAAGGCCAAAGGUCACAUAAGUCACCCCUUUUCAUAGCUGUCUCAGGCAAUGCCUGUUACGACGCAAUAUUAAAAUAUUCUGAAAUUUUGAGAAUAAAGUUGUACAUUUACAACAAUAAAAUAAUAAUAUAAUAAUACAUUUUAUUCUCGUAAAUGUACCACUUUUUUCUUGUAAAUGUACCACUUUUUUUUCUUAAAUUUACGAAAAUAAAGUCGUAAAUUUACGACUUCAUUCCCAAAAUGUCAGGGUUUUUAUUCAACGUGGCCCUAAUACUCCACCGUGUGUGUGAAAUUUUACUUUGAAAAUUUGAAUGAGGAAAAAGGCACAUAUGUUCAAUUCCAUCUCUUAUUGUUAUUAUGAUUUAAUUGGACCAAUGUACUGUUAGAAUAUUCACAAACAAGUAAAACACAUUGCUUGCGUUAAAAGAGUCCAUCAGGUUGUAUUUGCACCAUUUCUGUGUUAUAUUUAGUCAUCUCUCACAAAUACAAACAUGCUAGGACACAUUCUGUAAUGACUCCUAUUCCCAAUCUUGUCCUUUAUUUGUAAAACUUUGGCAUAUUAACCAACCAUGUCAAUGAUUAGCUCGGUAUAGACAGUAUUUACAUCCAUAAAUCGAUGCACGACACAGUAUCAUACCAUAUACACGGUCUGCACGCACAAUAUUUACAGUCUGAAUGCUUUCUCACAACUGUACAUUAUACACAAUCUAACCUUGUCCAGGUGAUUUGGCGCGGUAGUAUGUACACUCUAAAUAAAUAAAUAAACUAUUUACAGCUUUAUCUCCAGCAUGAGUUUUACCAACAUAAGAGGAAAUAGCAACUCAGCUAUGCAGUGCAAAUUGAUUCAUCCAGGCCAAUCACGUUUGCUAUAUCGCUACUAACUGAUUAAACAUAAAACAUGAUUACUAUUGUGUGGAUCUCAACCCGCUUUUCUACAGAGACAUUGCACAGCAAAAGGGUGCUACUUCAGUCUUACCUCGUAUCGCGUGAUUGCAUUGACGUAUUAUCUGUUCUGCAGGAAAAAUAUAGUUUAUAUAUACAUUUCUGACACAGUGGUUGUCAAACGUUUGGGCUUUCAAAAGCUACAAGCAAACAGAUGCAGAAAUGGUAGCCACAGUACUUGACCGCACACGCACAGGAAGAUUGAGCGUGGCGUGCACGAUAAGAGCCAUGCUGUACCCUACUUGUCAGCCACAGUUUAACAUGUCAUACAAAGCAACACAACAAUUUGUUCAACAUAAAUAACUGCACUGCUACCUUGUCUAUAUGGGUGACUAACCUCUUUGUAAGAAUUUAAGGCUGCAUCUAUGGAGGACAGCUACAAAUACUAACUAUCAGGUGAUUUUGCACAUUAAGAGCAAUUAGACUGCCAUCGGCUAAUGUUCACAUUGACAUGAUAUUUCCAUUUACAACAUGCAUGUAUCUCUAGAAUUCAAAAGACUGAUUAGAUGAAACACAUCAUGAUUGACACUGUUAUAUAAAUAUACUGUGGAGGAGAAACGUGUGUGAAUGAGAUGGAAGCGGACUAUUUUUUUUUUAACCAAUUCUGGCUACUUGAUCAAUACUUUCUGAUGAAGAACAUACUGUAUCUCACUACAGGUUUAAUAUUGAGCGAUGUAUGACCAAACAAGGGUAAAACCUUCACACUGCUCUAAAGUCUACAGGUUACAGGAUGUAAUGUUGAAAAUGUGCAUUUUAAUACUGUUUUUCCAGUGUCAAAAUGAUGAACCCAUGACUAAAAUAUUUGCUAACCAAUCAUUUUAAAUUUACUAGAACACUGAUACAAUGGAACCUCGGUUUUCGAACGCCCCAGUUUUCAUGUUUUGUUUGUUGCCAAAAACGUUUGUCCGGUUUUUGCCCUGGUUUUCGUACACUAUCUCAGUUAUCAUACAACAUCGCACGUCACAAACUAGUCCGUUCCCCCUGUACUAUAUCCUCGGUGUCAAAGCACUCUAUGCGUUAUGCGUUGGUGAUUUUUUUUUUAAUGAAACUUCAAAAUAACCCGCCACAGACAGUCAGAGAGCAAAAUUAACUUAAAGUUGAUGGCUUUUUGACUAGUUGGGCGCUUGUUUUCUACAAUUUACCUGCUAGCUGUCGAGUCUGGCUUGCAUUUGGUGCUGGAGACUGCACAUCUGCCAAAUGGACCUAUGAAACAAUGCCGGCAAAUUAGCGAGCGAGCUAACUCCAAUGCCGCCCGGCCCAUCUCUCAGCUGCUCGGUCUCAAUGGGUGAUUCCCUCACCCAUUGUCACUCACAAAACACCUUGGACUUCUACGUCCACCCGACUAUAUCCGCAAAAGGUCUCAUAAAAGGUUUGUUUACCUACGGUGUCGCUAUAAUUCGCCCCAGAGUGAGUGUUUGGAACUGAUUCAUUGGAUCUACGUUACUUCGUAUGUCGUUAUCUCCUAUACGUUUCUGUUGUUGUCUUACCUAUUGGAACGGCUUAAUGAAGAAAACCGAGGUUCCACUGUAUUACACUUAUUGGACACUUUAUUAGGCACAGAUGCACGUAUCAGGAGAUCCUGCAUUAUGUGUAGCCAAAAUAUUAGACACCUCUCUCAUUAUGAUGUAUUGCAGUUCAACGUGCUCACCACAAUAAAUCUACUGUUAAACUAAUCAAUCAAAAUCAGAUGGCACAGCUCUUGUAGAAAGUGUACCUAAGAGCGUACUUUUGUAAUGACAACUGAGAGAGAACCAGUGGAUCUGACAAAGGCCACUGCAACUUUAGGAACCAGGAUAUCCAAUUCCAGAGGCAAGCGUGAAGAACAGUUAUCCUCUCUAAUUAUUAAUAGUGUUCGUUUCUAUCAUCUAACCCUUUUCUUUUAGGUCUGAAUCGAUGACAACGCUCCCAACUUUCUUCAUUUCUCGACGCUGGGCGAGGCCAGAGGACUGUACAGGCUCCAGGACUGGGGUUGGAGCACAGCGCCUCAAAGCCGAAUAGGUGGCGGACAGCGCCCCCUGGUGGAUAAUACAAAGUAUUACUGCGCUGUUUUCACUAUUAAAUAAGCGGCAAACACCACCACCUAAUGGACAUACUGAGAAAGACAAGUAUAUUCGUAGACGUUUGGCUGCUGUUAGAAUUAAUAGAUAAUUAAAGUACAGAAGGGAAAAUGUUAGAAAAUCAUUUUUGUCGGGAUUUUGAUAACUGAUAUUUAAUGUUAUAUAUUUUUGCAUGCUUAAGCGAACAGGUCUGACCUUGACAGUGAGCACAUCUUGUCUCGUGAGGACUCUGUCAGAGAGCUGGUCUCUCUCGACAAUCCAGGGAUGGCGAAGGAUCUAAAACAAACAAACACAACAAUAAUAUUGUAUUUUUUAUUAUCUACAGGUGUCCCUAAAGUUUCCAGGCUGUGUACAAAUAUCAUAUCUAUAUUUUAUAUUGGUUAACAUUUUUAAAUAAGUGAGGAUAAGCGGCAUAGAAGAUGGAUGGAUGGACUUUUAAAUAAUUCAAAGUACCUGUGGAGCAGUCAGGCGCUGGUGGGGGUCCACAUGGAGCAUCUUAGUCACAAUGUCCUGUUAUACAUAUGCAGACAAAUGGGAGAUGCUGGAAUUGGACUGACUAAUACUAGUCCUUGUGUGUCUCAACAAUAGGACAUGCUAUGUAUGUACAGGUAUAUCUAACCUUGGCAGCGUCUGACACCAGGUCCCAAUUACCGCCACUGAUGAUGAAUUUCCCACAGCCGAUUUGAGCCAGAAUUUCCUCUGCUGAGUCAUCAGGACAGCUGGCAAAUGGACUGAAACUUAAGGUAAAUAGUAGAAGAAAGUGGGUGAGGGCAGAGAGGCAUUCACAACAUUUGUCCACACGUUUCAUAUCAAACAAGGGGAGGACCAGUAUAACCAUUACAUUUGGAAGCUACAGGUCUGUCAUUGAUUGUUAAACUAACCCAGCGAUGAUGGUGUAAAGCAGGAUCCCCAAGCUCCAAAUGUCACAUGCAGCAUCAUAACCUUGCUUCUUCAGAACCUGCACACACAUAAACACACGUAGCGCAGCUCCAAGUUAUUUAUUUCGUCCUUUAUAGGGCACUCGUUAAAGUAAUAAACUCAAAAUCUCAAUUUUAGGCUGUUAUUAUGGAGCACUUGACACGACUUGAGAUUUUUCAAAACUCAAUAUACAGUGCUAAAUCUUGGACCCAAAGCUAGUGGUGACCUUAAAGGAAAAAGCACUGGCGGAGUAACACAACAUCUCACUAGUCUCAGCGUCAUUCACAACGGCUCAAGCCACUGCUGAGCAGCUACUACUGCAGCUGGCUGUGUUGUUUGAGUUUUGAAAAGUUAACGCUAGGUUAUAAAUCAUCAUAGCCACUGAAAUGAUCAAAUAUGGCUCCUAAUAUAGAGAUACUUAAGAUACUAAAUUAGGUGGCUUUUAAUUUACCUCUGGUGCCAUGAAUGUUGCUGUGUAACAAGGGGUCAUCAGUAAGCCAUUUUCAGCCCUCAGCUGUUUGGCAAAACCAAAAUCACAUAUUUUGAGGCAUUCUGAGAGUCCUCUGUCAUCAGAGUAGCGAAUGUUGCUGGGUUUCAGGUCCCGAUGCACAACCUAAAAAAUUGGUUUUAGAUUUUUUUAUGGCAAUCAAAAGUGGUCUGCAUUGCAUCAUUUUUAUCUGCAGUCCAAUGAAAACAAUGCAGUUGUUGGCUCAGUCUUACCCCCUGGGAGUGUAAAUAUUCCACAGUCUUGGCCAGUGUGCAGAUGAUGUCUGAUGCGUCUUUCUCUAUGAAAUUUGGCACCGUCAAUACUCGGUCCAGCAGCUCGCCUCCUCUCAAUAAAUCCUGAACCAGGUACACACAGUGGCCAUCAUCAAACACCUGAAGAUGGGAAGACAAGCACAUUUAUAUAGAGAAGUCAAUAAACAAAUGCAGGCAUUAUUUGUGACGGUUGUGUCAAUUCAUGUUCUUUAAAGUUGCUGUCAUGAAGUUUAACUCACGUCUUUUAGUGUAAUGAUAUUAGGAUGCUGUCCAUAUCUUAACAGGAUCUCAACCUCUUCAGAUGGAUCUUUCCUUGCUUUGUCAAUGAUCUGCAAAAAAUACAAAACACACACACACACACAAUAGCAACUCUUAAAUAUGCACUCACAUAAGUACACUUAAACAUAUAAAAUCAAGAUGAUAUAAUGAUAAAGAAAAAAUACAUGACAAUAGUACGAUAUAUAUAACAAGAGUGGUAUCAAAAUGUUGCUUGUACAAAGAUACAAUGGUCAGUGGAGAGCACUACAUCGUACCAAAGAAAGUUGUUAAUAUUUUGGUUAUCUUGGAAACCAUAUUAGCAACACCCGCGCAUUAUACCGUUCUACAGUAUUAGAAAAAUCACAAUAAUAUAUUGAAUACUGUUAAAUGAAUACUUCUUUGACAUGUUAAAAAUAGAAAUAAGAUUUUGCUGGGUGCCUGCACAUGUAGGGGUGGAGGGGAAUGAGGUGGCAGAUAAAAUGGCUAAAAUGGGAAUUAGAAGGAAUGAAAUUAUAAAUAUACCUGCUGGUAAAGGCAAAGUAAAGGCAAUAAUCAAAAAACAAAUGAUGGAGAAAUGGCAAAAUAGGUGGGACGAGGGUAGUAGCGGGAGAAAGUAUUAUAAAGUACAAAGAUCUAUCAGUGCACAAGGGGUGAAGAGAAAAAACAGAAAAGAGGAAAUAGUGUUAGGAUGAAAUAGGAAACUAGGAUGAGGCUCAAUCACACCGCGUUAAAUGACAAGAUGUUUUUGGUUGGGAAAUGUAAAUCAAAAGUAUGUAUGGAGUGCAAAAGUAUAGAGAACGUAGAACACAUAUUACUACACUGCAAGAGAUAUAGGGAAGAACGUGUAACGUUAAGGAAAAGAAUUAAGAAGAUAGGAAGGGAAUGGAGCAUUGAGGGUAUCUUAGGAACAGGUGGGGAGGGGGUAAGAGAUAUACAGAGGGCAGUGAUAGAAUAUUUGAAGGACACAGGAUUAUAUAAUAGAAUAUAGAUAAGUAUUAGAAUAUUUUAUUAUAAGUAUUAUUAUUAGGAUUAUUAGUAGUAGUAGUAUAAGUAGUCUCCUCAUUAUCUAAGUUAGCAUAAAGUAAGAUACUGUAUAUGGCCCAUGUUACAUACUCUGGUACAGUAGCUGGCGGUAUGCACCUUUUAAAGUCAUGGUUGCAACCCGCCAUUAAACUAAAAAAAGAAGAAGAAGAAUACUUCUUUGUGCAGGCCGUACCAUAAUCACGUCAUAUUAAACUAGUAAAAAAAGUAUUUUGAUUGGUUUGGACUUCCGGGUCACAUACCGGAAGUGAAGGCAGGAGACGCAGCCAUACUAGUAAAGUAACAAAAUAACCGGAUAAAGUCAAAAUAAGGAGUAAGGCUUUGAGAGUAGUAAGCUCAACUUUCAAUUUAACGUAGUUUACUGCACAAUGUCUGUGGAGGUGAUCACAGCAGUUUGACAUGAACGCGUACAAUGCCGACAUUGUACACAUUUAAUAACAGUCUGGGGCCAACAACUUCGCCCAACAAGAUGGUGGAAUUUUUACGCUACUUCAAGUGGAUCCACUGUUUUGUCACUCUGUGUCCAAUGUCACUUAAGACGCAUCCAAAAGUGCGUUCAUUGCGCCCCCGACGGUGACGUCACACAGCGAGUCUACCAACCACUGACCAACCGAAGAAGAAGACAGCCAAGUAGGUGUCAUCUAAUGGUCAGUAUGGAAAACAACAAUAAUAGUGGGUCGACGAAAACCGUAAUCAUUUGUGUGCCUUGGCAGUGUAUCGAAGCAACAUUUGAACUAAUUAAAACAUAUAUCACCUAAAAACGAUAAAGCCAAUGUUUUGAAUAGAAAAUACAUGUUUCUGAAGUAUAGGUAGGUUUACAGUACAGUGUAAAUGACUCCAUCCACACUAGUUGAGUGUUUUUGAUACUAAAGCCCAAUCAGUAACUCAGUAUGAAACCUGUUUCACAGUCUUUUACUUGUCCAUCCGACUCAAACUGGGUCUCCUCAGCGGUUUUGUACAGGUUGGAACAUGUCUGGAAUCCUUUGCUAUCGUCAUGUCCCACUGUGUGUACAAUCCAUCCUGGGAUGCUGGUCGACCUUCGAUUUGUUCUAAUUUUGAAAAAUUGUAGAAUAGCAAAACUGAAACCAUCAUAACAAAUAUGAAUUAACUGUGCAGGCAAUGUUGUUCGCAACAUUUUCACAUGAUCAAUAAUCCAAGAAGUGUAAAAAGAAGUACUGCUGUUAAAAUGAAGAUGUAAAAACAAUAAAAUACUGUCAAAUUGUGAGGCAUAUGUGACACUGAUGUGAAUGCGAGCUUGCUUAUUUCAUAUAAUGCCUGAAAACAAUACAACAAUCUGUUUUAACCUUACACCUUAACCUGACAAACAAUGAAGACAUAAGGCAAAAGGGCAAUCCUCAUGUACAGUCAUCCCUCGUUUAUCAUGGUUAAUUGGUUCCAGAAUCAUUCACUGAUAAGUGAAUUUCUGUUAAGUCGGAUUCCUUAUUCAUAAAUUGAAAAUUUUCAUAGUUCGAGCAUAGAAAACCUGUUUACAACCUUGUAAAUAUGUUUUUUAACAUUACUAGAGCACUGUAGACAUGAACUAGCACACCAAUAGUCACCUUUACACUCCUAUUACCUAAUACGUAUUACCCAAAAGCCUACUGUUCAGUGAUCAAGUCUGGCUCUUGUGUGCCUCAUCAAACAUUAUUGUAACAUUACUGACACCUCGUGACCAGUCUACAAUACUUUGUCAGCGUCUUUAAAUUUCUCUUUUAAAUCCCUUAUACUGUAUUUGUAUUUUAGUUCACUUUUUAUGCUCGAAAAUGCUUAAUUUAGGCAAAAAAUACGUAAAAUUUGCUUGAAUGUGCAUGUUUUGACUAAUAGUAGGCGGUAUUCAACCCCAAAACAGCAUGAUUUAUUAAUUAAGUUUUUGAAAAACCAUGAUAGAUUGAAGCCGCAAAAUUCAAACCGUGAAGUGGCGAAGGACGACUGUACAUCCUAGUGCAGAAGCCUGUUACCUUCACUGAAUACUCCACUGCAGUAACUCUGUGAAGACAUCUCCUGUAGACUGAGUUGGCUGGCUGUCCAACGUCCUCCUUUAGCUCAUAAACGUCACUGAAGGCCACAUCACCACGGAGAUGCUGCAGAGACACACGUCAGCGUCAUCACUCCAACAAUGACCAGUUUGCAGUGACGAUAAGAGUUAGGAUUUAGGCCGUGGAGUAAUUGCUUAAAUACAUUGUGUACCUGUGCCACUGGGAUUAUGGUGUUCCCCUCCUGGUGAGAAGGUAGAACACUGGUCACACUGUGCUCCUGAUUUUGAUUUGUGGCAACAAAACUGAAACCACGGAACAGCUGGUGUGUGUUUGCACUGGGUGGUAUGCCAGGAGAGUCUGAAUUGGUAAAGACAUAUACAACCACAUGCAAGCAAAAUUAAUAUAAACAGUUAUAAGCUCGGAACAUUCACUUUGUGACUUGGCCUGCAUUCUUAUCAGCAAGGCCAUACUGAAAUAUUUAUGUAUAUUGUGUGUGUUUUGGUUACCAGUGGGUGUUCUAGAGGUGAAUUCCGGGUCAAAGUGAAAAGUAUCCUCAGGUCUUCCAACUGUUGGUUUGAACGGCGGCCUAAUUUCCUUCCUAUACAGCUUCUAAAGAAACAAAAAUUCUCCUUAGGAUUGUUGUCACUGAACAUAAACAAAUUUUAACCAGAAUCUUAACCAUCCAUUUUCAUCAUCAGAUUAGAUUAAUUUAACUGUAAUACUUAAUUUGGCCUUUAAGUGUCGCUACUGUAACGCGUUUUAAAAAAGUAAAAAAAAAAAAAGCCUAACAGGGGUGUCAAACUCGUGCCAUGGAGGGCUGAGACACUGCAGGUUUUCUUUCCAGCCCGUCACUAAAGCAGGUGAUUUUAAUGAUCAACACCUCCUUCAAUUUGAGAGAGGGAGUAAUCAAUUAAAUCAUCUGCUGGAGAAACUGGUUGGAGAGAAAACUUGCAGCGUUUCGGCCCUCCAUCGAGACGUGCCUUACAAUGCCAGCAAUUAUCCUCUCUUCACUUUCAUAUGCAAUAACCAAGUACAUCAGAACAAUUGAAUGCAUUAGCACCACUCUCAAUAAUAGCUUGUCAUACCAAGUCAGCAUAAUAGUUUGGUGAAAUGUAAUUUAUCAAAACAAUCAACGAUAAGAGUUCAAUUUAAAACUUUUUUGAUGAAUCUAUUCAUACUAAAUAUAUUAGUGCCUUUAAUGCAUGAGCAAACCUUCUGCCAAA
Molecule: RNA transcript, 20498 nt
Organism: Dunckerocampus dactyliophorus (ringed pipefish)
Lineage: Eukaryota; Metazoa; Chordata; Actinopteri; Syngnathiformes; Syngnathidae
Gene: immp1l
Gene name: inner mitochondrial membrane peptidase subunit 1
Exons: 14
Source: RefSeq, a predicted model, not a curated record